UAGUUGCACCAGUUAGAGAGAGGAGAGGAGCUGCUAGCUCUCAGUCCUAAGCUCCAGCAUUCGCUUGGCUUGGUUCCCUCUUCUUGUGAUUUAUCAUGAUACACAAACUCUUCUGUAUCCUCCAUUUUUCCCUUGGAGUAGGACUCACGGGUGCUGGGAUCACUCAAACUCCGAGAUCCCGAAUUACACAUACAGGAAAGAAGCUGGUCCUAGACUGCUCGCAGGAUAUGAACCAUUUCUCAAUGUUCUGGUAUCGGCAAGACGCAGGACAAGGGCUGAGGCUGAUCUAUUACUCAACUGGCGUAGGCAGCAUUGCCAAAGGAGACAUUACGGAAGGAUACAAUGUCUCCCGACGACAGCAGGAGAGCUUCAGGCUGACACUGGCAUCCGCCAGCCCCAGCCAGACCUCCUUGUACCUCUGCAGCAGCAGCAGUCACAGUACUGCGCCCGCAGCUGCUCUCUGCACAAAAAGGGCCGGCACACACCUUGGCCUUCCUGAGCCCAAGCUGCUCUUCCCAGAUGUGAACUGGAGGGGCCUUGUGCUGCAGGAGAGACAGAGACAGAGACUUUCAAUGUUAGUUUGCUCCAUGUAA
This is a non-coding RNA of Dipodomys spectabilis (banner-tailed kangaroo rat), 593 nucleotides long. The record is from the annotation of a RefSeq genome assembly. Lineage: Eukaryota; Metazoa; Chordata; Mammalia; Rodentia; Heteromyidae.